Molecule: long non-coding RNA, 506 nt
Organism: Brassica oleracea var. oleracea
Lineage: Eukaryota; Viridiplantae; Streptophyta; Magnoliopsida; Brassicales; Brassicaceae
Exons: 4
Source: RefSeq, a predicted model, not a curated record
CUCUCUCUCGUCUUCGGUGGCAAGGCGGAGCUACGUCGGAGGCGGCGGCAGCGAAGCUUAUAAAGCGCAGGAAGCUUGUGAGUUUCUCCCUUGCCAUAGAUUUUCAUAUGUAAGAGCAGGGAUGGAGAUGGCUAUGAUUGAUGCAGCUUCUAAGAGCGUUGGAGUGCCUUUGUGGAAAUUAUUUGUUGUCUUGAAGAGAAACCUAUCUGCUUAGAAACUAAACUAUGGCACCAAAUGCUCAUAUCAAAAAAGCAAUGACAGCUAUGAAAGCUCUUGGAAUAGAGGAGGCGCAGAUAAAGCCUGUCUUGAAAAAUCUUCUCAACCUUUACGAUAAGAAGUGGGACUAAAUAGCCUAGGACAACUACAGGGCUCUCGCUGAUGCUAUCUUCGAGAGACAAGAGACUCAGGCCACUGAAGAGAAAAAAGGAAAGGAGAACACUACAAGAAUUCACUCCAUUAGCUACGGACGGGCGAAGACUUUUCCGUAGCUAAACGAAUUAGCUACA